UACAGAGGGGGCGAGCGUUGUUCGGAAUUACUGGGCGUAAAGGGCGCGUAGGCGGCCCGCUAAGUCGAACGUGAAAUCCCCAGGCUCAACCUGGGAACUGCGUCCGAUACUGGCAGGCUUGAAUCCGGGAGAGGAUGGUGGAAUUCCCAGUGUAGAGGUGAAAUUCGUAGAUAUUGGGAAGAACACCGGUGGCGAAGGCGGCCAUCUGGACCGCAACUGACGCUGAGGCGCGAAAGCGUGGGGAGCAAACAGG
This 253-nucleotide ribosomal RNA is filed under the name uncultured bacterium. RNAcentral describes it as "partial 16S ribosomal RNA". It matches the Rfam family "Bacterial small subunit ribosomal RNA", at positions 524 to 776 of the family's 1533-position model. The record is from RNAcentral.